RNAcentral lists this ribosomal RNA (476 nucleotides) under uncultured bacterium. Its description in RNAcentral is "bacterial SSU rRNA". It matches the Rfam family "Bacterial small subunit ribosomal RNA", at positions 791 to 1271 of the family's 1533-position model. The record is from RNAcentral.
UAGUCCACGCCGUAAACGAUGGAUACUAGCUGUUCGGACUUCGGUCUGAGUGGCUAAGCGAAAGUGAUAAGUAUCCCACCUGGGGAGUACGUUCGCAAGAAUGAAACUCAAAGGAAUUGACGGGGGCCCGCACAAGCGGUGGAGCAUGUGGUUUAAUUCGAUGAUACGCGAGGAACCUUACCAGGGCUUAAAUGCAGAUUGACAGGUUUAGAGAUAGACUUUUCUUCGGACAAUUUGCAAGGUGCUGCAUGGUUGUCGUCAGCUCGUGCCGUGAGGUGUCAGGUUAAGUCCUAUAACGAGCGCAACCCCUGUUGUUAGUUGCCAGCACAUUAAGGUGGGGACUCUAACAAGACUGCCGGUGCAAACCGUGAGGAAGGUGGGAUGACGUCAAAUCAUCACGGCCCUUACGGUCCUGGGGCUACACACGUGCUACAAUGGGUAGGACAGCAAGCAGCCACUGCGCGAGCAGGAGCUAA